This 89-nucleotide unclassified non-coding RNA is filed under the name Pseudomonas mediterranea. Lineage: Bacteria; Pseudomonadati; Pseudomonadota; Gammaproteobacteria; Pseudomonadales; Pseudomonadaceae. The record is from RNAcentral.
UGUGGGAGCGAGCCUGCUCGCGAUGGCGGCGUGCCAGUCAACAUCAACGUGACUGAUUCGACGCCAUCGCGAGCAGGCUCGCUCCCACA